UGGAGGCAGCAGUGGGGAAUUUUGGACAAUGGGCGCAAGCCUGAUCCAGCAAUGCCGCGUGCAGGAAGAAGGCCUUCGGGUUGUAAACUGCUUUUGUCAGGGAAGAAAUCUUCUGGGCUAAUACCCCGGGAGGAUGACGGUACCUGAAGAAUAAGCACCGGCUAACUACGUGCCAGCAGCCGCGGUAAUACGUAGGGUGCGAGCGUUAAUCGGAAUUACUGGGCGUAAAGCGUGCGCAGGCGGCUUUGCAAGACAGAUGUGAAAUCCCCGGGCUCAACCUGGGAACUGCAUUUGUGACUGCAAGGCUAGAGUACGGCAGAGGGGGAUGGAAUUCCGCGUGUAGCAGUGAAAUGCGUAGAUAUGCGGAGGAACACCAAUGGCGAAGGCAAUCCCCUGGGCCUGUACUGACGCUCAUGCACGAAAGCGUGGGGAGCAAACAGGAUUAGAUACCCCGGUAGU
RNAcentral lists this ribosomal RNA (459 nucleotides) under uncultured bacterium. RNAcentral describes it as "bacterial SSU rRNA". It matches the Rfam family "Bacterial small subunit ribosomal RNA", at positions 343 to 794 of the family's 1533-position model. The record is from RNAcentral.